RNAcentral lists this ribosomal RNA (258 nucleotides) under uncultured bacterium. RNAcentral describes it as "partial 16S ribosomal RNA". It matches the Rfam family "Bacterial small subunit ribosomal RNA", at positions 57 to 305 of the family's 1533-position model. The record is from RNAcentral.
GCAAGUCGAACGAGAAAACUGAUUAGAUUACUAAGAUGUUUUCUAGUGGCGGACGGGUUAGUAACACGUGAGCAACUUGCCUAGAAGCGGGGGAUAGCCUUCCGAAAGGGAGAUUACUACCGCAUGUGGCCCCCUUUUCUUAGGGUGGUUAAAGGUGCCUUCGGGUAUCGCUUCGAGAUGUGCUCGCGGCCGAUCAGCUUGUUGGUGAGGUAAUGGCUCACCAAGGCUACGACGGGUAGCUGGUCUGAGAGGAUGAUC